UAUUUCAAGGUAAUGCCAAGCUUAAACCAAAUUAAAAUGUAAAAAUUAUUAUCGCAUUUCGGUUAUCAGGAAUGUGUUAAAAAAAUAGAAGCUCUAGAUGGCUUAAAAAGAGCUUAAAUUGACAUUUUUCUUACACUUUUAAAGAUUACUCACUUAAGAACAAACAACACGUCUACCUUGUCUGGCUGUCAUAGACACUCAGUAGUAGCGCAUUAAAAUAGGAGGCUACUCUACAACAUUUUGAACGUAAUUGUGAAUAUUUAAAAUCUAUAAUUGAAAUUAAAGGCAUUAAGGAACCUUAAAUUGGUUGAUUAAGAAAUUUUUUUAUCUCCGAAAUGACUCCUCUUCUUUAAUGAUUAAUUCUUUAUACGACAACCGACUAGUUGUCUAGUGACAAAGUACUUUAAGUAGGGGAGGUACGCGUUUAAAUUUAGGCAUGAAUUAUGCGCUUAUUACUCAAUAUUGACCACUAACUUGGAUGUACAAUUGGUAUACAAUGUUCACAAGUUUGGACGAUAAAAGUAGCAGUACCAGUGUCAUAUACCUUAUUUCCGGAUAUGAACGAAGCGCAAGAUUAACGAUUACGAAAUUAGCAGGAAAGAAAUUAACGCGAAUGCCUAUAACAAUUUAUAAAAAAACAAUUAAUGCGAUUUAGCUGAGCUGACUUAACAAAAGCAUUAAAAUAACGCGACUCAGAAAUAUAUUUCUUUCGAAAAUGGAUUCAUUGACAACAAGUUUCUCAUCCUAAAUCCUCUUGAAAUAUGCUAGUUGUUGUUGGCCAUAUUUUAAGAAUUUUCCCCGAACAGCGACCUUUGUAGUGUUGUCAGUCAAUUUGGUGCCAUCUACUGACCGACAAUUGGCCUGUGUGGCAGACAGGCAAGUUAAAGCAAUGCUAUACGUAUCUCUAGCGGUAAUGUAACAUAGUUACAGUCGGAGGAAGAGCCAGCUGUUAGGAUGGAAAUCCCAAAGGACGUUUAACGUUUCGUUACUUACUUACAAACUUGUGUGUCCCGGCCUGGAUUAUUUUGUUGCGCAGGCAAGCUGGAGAAUGUCACGAGAAAAACUUAAACGCUUUCAAUCUUGCCUACAUGUGAAUAGAAGAAGCGAAUUUACAGUCUGUUGGCGCAGUGUAUUCACCAUUCUACCUCUUUGACUGUGUUUAAAAAACUGAAGAAGUAAAGUGCUUUUUUUUCAAUUAUUCUGUCCAAAAAUUGUA
Molecule: long non-coding RNA, 1216 nt
Organism: Hydractinia symbiolongicarpus
Lineage: Eukaryota; Metazoa; Cnidaria; Hydrozoa; Anthoathecata; Hydractiniidae
Exons: 2
Source: RefSeq, a predicted model, not a curated record